RNAcentral lists this ribosomal RNA (431 nucleotides) under uncultured bacterium. RNAcentral describes it as "bacterial SSU rRNA". It matches the Rfam family "Bacterial small subunit ribosomal RNA", at positions 355 to 796 of the family's 1533-position model. The record is from RNAcentral.
UUUGGAAUUUUGGACAAUGGGCGAAAGCCUGAUCCAGCGACGCCGCGUGGACGAUGAAGGCCUUCGGGUUGUAAAGUCCUUUUGCUCGGGAACAAUAUUUUGAGCGUACCGAGAGAAUAAGAGGUUGCUAACUCUGUGCCAGCAGCAGCGGUAAUACAGAGACCUCAAGCGUUAUCCGGAAUCAUUGGGCGUAAAGCGUACCGAUAGGUGGUUUUACAAGUCAGAAGUGAAAUUCCAAAGCUCAACUUUGGGUCUGUCUUUUGAAACUGUAAAACUAGAAGGGCAAAGAGGAAGCUGGAACAAACGGUGUAGUAGUGAAAUGCGUUGAUAUCGUUUGGAACACCAAUAGCGUAGGCAGGCUUCUGGGUGCCACUUGACACUGCUAGGACGAAAGCGUGGGGAGCGAAUGGGAUUAGAUACCCCCGUAGUCC